UUUGUAUUAAAUUCUUUUAUUGGUACAUUGUAGGUAUACAACACAAUUACAUUUCUCAUUGGGAACUCAUAUCUUUACAUGAUGCAUCUUGGUUCUUAUUUGUUCCCCAUUCCUAGCCCUCCCUUCACCCCCUCCACCCUUCCCUAUUUACAAAGACUUUAUUUCCAUUUUUUCCAUUUCUCAUCAUUUUUCCUUUCCCUUCUUUCCUUUCCCCUGCCCCUCCCACUACCCCUACCCCUUUGGACCUUUUCUUCCUAUUUUACAUUAUUGAUUAUUCAUUCUAAUCAUUGGUACAUUUUAGGUAUACAAUAUAAUGACAUUCGUCAUUGGAAAUUUGCACCUUUACAUAGUCUUAGUUCUUAUUUUUCACCCUUGCCCAGCCCUCCCCUUCAACCCCUCCAGUCCUCCCUAUUUACAAAGAUUUUGUUCCUAUUUUUCCAUUUUCUCAUAUUAAUCCCAUUCCCUUCUAUCCUUUCCUCUAGCCCUCCCACUUCCUUCCCCUUUGCCCCUUUUCUUCUCACAGUCUUACUUUCCUGCUAGUUCUUUCCAUUUCAUGUUAUAUCCUAAUCAACUCCCCAUCACACUAAUCAUUUUUAAAGGCCACACGGAAAACAAAUUAUACUUCACUCAUUUCCCUGUUUUAACACUGUGAAUUCCAAAUUUCUGCUAUUUAAUUGAUAAACAUCACAGUUCUACAUGUUCUGUAAUAUACUCAUACAUUUGUGCACCAUAUGCGUGUGUGUCCUAAGAAAGAAGCACACUGUAAGAGUGGCUGAACACAGAUUUGAAGCAAAUUGCCUGGAGUUUACGUUCCUUCUUGCCAGUUUACCAGGGCAGCAGGCUUAUGCUUCCUGUGGCAGGUUCCUCAUAUGCAUAAGGUUAGGUAAGUAAUGCCACUUACCUCAAAGGCCAUAAGGACUGAGUUAAUAGAUUGCCAGUGCUGAGAGCAAUGCUUGUCAAGAAGUAUUUAAUAAAUGUCAACCAUUCGUUUAUUUUGAAAUAUCUCUCAAGUAUAAUUAUUAGCUCAAAAGUUAUACUCAUUAGGAUGACCACUACCAGAAAAGCCCAGAAAAUAACAAGUGUUGGGAAGGAUGGCGCAAACCCUUGUGCACUGCUGGUGAGAUUGUAAAAUGGUGCAGCUGCUGUGCAGAAGAGUAUGGAGUUUCAUCAAACACUUAAAAUAGAAUCACCAUAUGACCCAGCAAUCCCACUUCUGGGUAUAUAUCCUAAAGAACUGAAAGCAGGAUCUCAAGGACAUAUUUGCACAUACGUAUCUACUGAAGCACUAGUUACAGCAGCCAAGAGGAAGCAGACCAAAUGUUUCCAACGACAGAUGAAUGGAUUAAAAAGAUGGUGUUGACACAUAAUGAAAUAUUAUUCAGCCCUUAAACAUAAGGAAAUCCUGCCACAUGUUACCACAUGAAGCUUGAGGGACUUACACUGAGUGAAAUAAGCCAGUCAAAACAAGGACAAGUACUAAAUGAUUCCAAUUAUAUGAACUUUCUAGGGUGGUCACAAUCAUGGAAACAAAAAGUAGAAUGCUGGUGGCUGGGAACUAGAGGGAAGGACAUGGGAAGCUGAUGAGCAGAGAGUCUUCACUUCUAUUAGACUAUGCAUGCAAUUACUGGUGAGUAUACCAAAUAUGAAUACUUACUUAUUUCUGGUUUAAAGACUUUAUAGGGUUUUUUUGGCAUCAUCCUUGAUUCUGCAUCACAUAAAGAUUCAUGUGCUAUUUUGUUUCACCAUAAAAAUACAUGCAAUAUAAAUAGGAAAAACAAUGUUCUCUAAAGAAUAAGUCUAUUUGCUUUUAUCAGGUAAGAAUCAUACAUCUACAUUUCCCUUUUCUUUCACAGCUACUCAGAAGUAACUUAAUGGUUAAUUACUGUAACUAUUAUUAGUCCAGGUUUGGAAUAAAUAUACUUUUAUUCCUCCCUCCAUAAAACUUCUGCCAUUAUUCUAUCUUAAUGUGUUCUAAAUGUUUUAUUAUAAGGAAAUUCAGCUGGAAAUCCGUAGAACAUAAG
Long non-coding RNA from Heterocephalus glaber (naked mole-rat), 2021 nucleotides. Lineage: Eukaryota; Metazoa; Chordata; Mammalia; Rodentia; Bathyergidae. The record is from Ensembl.